UAUGGACCAAUAGUUGUAAUAGGACCAAAAUUGUUUUAAUUGAGAUUAAAAUGUAUGUUUAUAUGUGAUGAGACCUAAAACCCUCAACCAAACCAUUAUUAAGUUGAUAAGCGUGAGAGUGCUUUGAACACUCUUUCGUGGCCUUCUACCGUGGUAGGCUCCAAUCAUUUAUGACUUGUACACCGCCUUCACCCUAUCAUGGGGGAGUGCAAAGUGCAUGCUUAUACUCAGGAGGAAUCUAUAUACAUACUUGAUGAGGUGAGUGUAGGCAACGAGGAUGGCCGACAUCGUAUCAUUGUGAGGCUAUUCUUGAACCCCUUCACGAACUAAGCAUGGUGGGAAUGACUUAACUAAGUGCAAUGGAGCCAACAUCAUAUCAUUGUGAGGUGACAUUCUCUAGAGGCCAAAUAGAUGGGUACUUGCAAGAGAUGCAAAUGAGUAAGCGUACUCUCUCAUUAUUAUUAAUGCUAGCCAACAUCAUAUCAUUGUAAGGUGGGCUUGGUAGUAGUGAGUCUCCCAUACCCUACUAAGAGUUUCAUCCAAAACUCUCGAAUUCCAAUGAGGGAUAUGGAAUUUGCCAAAAAUAGUGGGUGGUGCUAUUUGAUUUAAAGACCCGAAUCAAAUGGCUUAAAAUCAAUCAAUUUAUAUUCGUUAUGUAUUUACUUACCAAUAUAUUUGCAAACGCUAUCCAACACUUGACAAAUAAAAACCGAAAGUUUAGUUUCCGUACUUGGUACUACAAAACCAUAGAUUGUCUUUAAUGGCUUGUAAAUGUACCUAAGUAGUCUCAUCCUCACAAUCUUCCUAUUGAUAAUGUAUCAUUGGAAGAACAUGUUAGAUAAGGUCUAUCAUAAAGAGGACAACACUUUUAAUGUCAUAAUUCUUCAAAUACAAUUUGUUGUAUGAAGAAAUAGGAGUUGCUUUGAACAACUCUUAGUCAAUGCAAACACUUAGUGCUUGUUUCUUUGUUAUAUGAACAAAGAACUUGAGAAGAAAGCAAAAAGGCAUGGACACUUAAUGUGCCAUGAUUCUUCACUUACAAUUUGUUGUAUGA
This 1054-nucleotide long non-coding RNA is filed under the name Malus domestica (apple). RNAcentral describes it as "long non-coding RNA (MDOM_LNC001694)". Lineage: Eukaryota; Viridiplantae; Streptophyta; Magnoliopsida; Rosales; Rosaceae. The record is from RNAcentral.